RNAcentral lists this non-coding RNA (24 nucleotides) under Arabidopsis thaliana (thale cress). The record is from RNAcentral. Lineage: Eukaryota; Viridiplantae; Streptophyta; Magnoliopsida; Brassicales; Brassicaceae.
UAGAUGAUGUGAUGGUUGCAGCUC